AGCGAACGCUGGCGGCAUGCUUAACACAUGCAAGUCGCACGGUCGGGUUUCGGCCCGGCAGUGGCGGACGGGUGAGUAACGCGUAGGUAUCUAUCCUUGGAUGGGGGACAACCGUGGGAAACUACGGCUAAUACCGCAUGACGACCGAGGUCCAAAGGCCGCGAGGCCGUCUGGGGAGGAGCCUGCGUCCGAUUAGCUAGUUGGUGGGGUAACGGCCUACCAAGGCGGUGAUCGGUAGCUGGUCNGA
Molecule: ribosomal RNA, 247 nt
Filed under: uncultured bacterium
Lineage: Bacteria
Description: partial 16S ribosomal RNA
Rfam family: Bacterial small subunit ribosomal RNA
Source: RNAcentral